AUGGCUGCUCCUCGCGUGGGGCUCGGGGCCCCCAGACGCCGCCCAGAGCAGCCGGCGGCCUCGCCCUCCCUCCCCCCAGCUGCUGCGGCCGCGACGGGCACCGAGCGCCGUGCACGAGGGGCAGGCUCCGGGCGGGGCGGCCGCGGGGCGCGCGGGGGCCGAGCCCCGCAGGCCCAGGUGAGGCAGCCGAGUCGGGGGUGCGGAACGGGGGGCGAGCCUGACCGCCCUCACAGCGCCCCGCCCCCUCUGACCCCGACCUUCCUCCCCGCGCCGCAGGCCGAGCGCCGGCUGCACCCGAGCACCCGAGCGAGGCCGGCGGGGAGCGGCCGCGCAGCCGCCAGGAGGGGGCGCCCAGCUGCCCUGAGCCGGGGCCGGGAGGCGCUGGGAGGCGCUGGGAGGCGCUGGGAGGCGCUGGGAGGCGCUGGGAGGCGCUGGGAGGCGGGCUCUGCCCAGAGGCUGUGCGGGCCGGAAGGGCGCCCCCUCCUGCCACAGAGCGACGGACGCUUCUCCGAGUGCCCGCGUAGACGGCCUGAGACCCGCGGGCUGUGGCCUUUCCCGUACAGGCCGGGCGGGCGCCCCCUGACGUGCCGGAAAUCGAAAAAGAUGGUGAAGGGUCGGGCCAAUAAAUUAGCCUCAGGGAUGGAGAUGCAGACAGACGGAUGGGGUUGUAUGGAUACAGAUACACAAGGAAAACCAAAGCUAUUCAGUCUCCUCAUUUGUCCAGCAGCCUCACAGUGGUGCCCUUUCUCUGCUGCUGCUUUCCCUGCUUCGGGAGCAGCAGUUAUGGUAGAAGCAGAUGGCUACUGAUUGGGGGAGCUUUGUGGCUCUAAUACUGAAUACUUUAUGGAAAAGGACUUUAUCAUGCUUCGCUGGGCAGAGGAACAAGGGGGUGAGAUUUAUGGCCAGGAAAAAUAAAUCUUUUCCAAGUUGUGGCUCCUUCUCACCAGUUGUCUCUUUUGCUGGUGGUGGGGGGGGGGGGGUGGCGGGGAGGUGGAACUACUGAAGAAUUGGUUUUAUUUUAUUCUCUUUUCUACUAAUAGCACUUUUUUAGUCAGAGUCUGAGGGGAGAGCAGACUAAGAGCUAGAAGUUUAUGGCAUAACUUGGGUGACCAUUGCUGCAUGAGCAUUCUCUGCUCCGUUAGUGUGUGUGUGUGGGGGGGGAGUAAAAUAGAAGGGUAUAGUCUUGAACGUUGUCUGGGGCCAGUUUUCCCGGAUGUCCUGUUAGUUCCUGGGUAAAACAUCAUCCUCCAUUAUCCUAUUAUCUAUAGAGAACAAAAAGGAAUGUAAGUGCUCCCAUCCGAAAAAUCAGAGAAGGUCACUGGUAUUGAAGAAGUGGGGCCCUGAUGAGGCAUAUGGUGAUGUAGGUAUGCUCCUCUACUCUGAAAGAGUCUGAGCUGCAAGGAUGAUUAGGGGAUGUCUGUGAAUGUCAGUUUUUGGACUCCUAAUAGAAUUUUCAAGCUUAUAAGAUUAUACAGACUCCCAACACUGCACUGAAGGUUUAAUUCACCCCAAGAUAAUUGACCCUUACAUCUUUUUUCUUCCCUUCACCAGAGUUUUACUUCUCAAGAGUCAGAUAUGCCCUAUAUCUGUUGCAGGAAUGCAUCCCUCCUGCAUAUGCAGAAGUCUGCACCCCCUUGCCCCUUCUAUUCCCAAACCCUGUCCCCUAGAGCAGUGCCACCCCCUCUUCCAUCUCCCCCUUUACAGCUUCCCCUCCUAGGGGCCAUAACUAAAGACACAGAAAUGCUCCCAACAUGCCUACUGGCAGCCAGGCACAGAGACAUGGAAGCCAGUUCCAAUCCUGGUUCUCCCAUUCCACUUCAGACAGACUCCCUGUCUCCUUAAUAUUUGGAAUGACAUUUUCUAGUCAAGAAACUUUUGUUCAGAAUCUUUCAUGCUGUAUGCUCCUUUUUCCUGCCUUUCCUAUUCUUUUUCCUUUACCUUGUCCCUAGAAACUGAAGCGGAAAGGCUAGAAGGAAAGGCAUGCAGCAUCCAGAAGUGUCCUCUAACUUUCUGCCACAAGCUAGUUCUUCCCAAUUCUGCAGGCACUAUCACCCCCACGUAGCCACACACACCUUUGUGCGUUGUUUCUCUUUCAAGAGGAGAAAAAGUGGAGCAGGAAAACCUAGACUUAGAGCUGACAUUUACCUAGGUUUCAAAGUGGCAGACAUUGAGAUACCUUAAAUAAUUAACUGUUUGGGCUCCUAUAGUGUGUUAGACUGAAAGCUCUUCCAGGCUUACUGCAUAUAAUUAUGACCCUUUGAGUCGAACAUUAUUCCCUAGUUCACUGAUCCCUUACUUCACAGGAAACGGAAGCACAGAGAGGCCAGCUAACCCAAGCAAGUAGUCAGGCUGGCAUCUGAACCCAGGGUGGUUCUCACAAUACCCAUAGCCACGGGGUCACUGAGAUAAAUGUUUCCUCUGCCAUCUUACAAACGAGGAAACUGGAGUUCAGAGAGGUCGGGUGAUUUGCUCAAAGACACACAGCUAGCCGACUGCACAUCUGGGCGUUCGAACAUUACGUUCAUCGCAUUACAUCCGGGCGUUCGAACAUUACGUUCAUCACAUUACAUCUGGGCGUUCGAACAUUACGUUCAUCCAUUACAUCAGGGCGUUCGAACAUUACGUUCAUUACAUUACAUCUGGGCGUUCGAACAUUACGUUCGAAUUAGGAUCCCUAAUUCGGGGCUCUCAACCACCGCCUCUCGAAUCCUUCACAAGGAAGAGCAAUAAGGACCGCCUCCCCCGCCCCCCAACUGACGUCUGCUACAGAGCAUCGGUCUGGGCGGGAGAUUCGCCAAGCUGAAGGCCCUAGGCGUGGGCAAACGUAACAGCCUGCUCGGGGCUGCGGAAACCGCGUGGGGGCGCGGAAGGAAGCACCGCCCGUCAGCCCCGGCCUCCCGCGGGGCGCCGUCGGCCGUGCGGCCCACAAUGCUCCGCGCGCAGCCCGCGUGCGGGCGUCGGGGGCGGGGCCGAGGGUAGGCGGCGUGGGAACGUGCGCAGCUCGAAGCCUGGGCGCCGCUUCCCGCCUCGCUCCCGGGACGGGGACUGCGUGUGGAGGCGAAGGCCUGCUGCCGCCUCAGCCCCCGGCCCGCCCGCUGCGAGGCAGAGGAGGGGCGGGGCGCUCGGAGGUCCUGAGCCCCGUCAGGGCGGGCGGCCUGGUUCCGCAGGUUUCCCUGGCCACCGCCUUCACCUCCGUGCCCUGCGUGCGCGGUGGCGCUGCCCUGACUUCCGGGCGUUUCUGACGUGGCGCCGCUGUCAAUUCCAACGGAAGGACUCUGGAAGAUGAGGAAUAGAAGUCUAGUCGGCCUCCCGGCACGAAACUGCUGCCUCUCCUGAAAUGAAGAGGGGAGGAAGGAGUGGGACUGCCGCCUGUGCUUGGAACAUUCCACUCCCUUUGGCAGUAGAAGGGGUCCCUGAACAUCUAAACACGUUGUUCCUGCUUCCUUCGUCGUCCAGUACCUUCUGGUUUCCCUAGAAACUUUGAGAAAUCCUUUAGCCUUCACUGAGUGGCUUCGAAAGCGAGGGCACUCGCUACAAUUCCCAGAUUUUCUAAAAAGGAGAAGCGAAGGCAGUGCCAACGACAACAGCGACCCGAUCCGUAUUUACUAGGUGCCAGGCACUGUGCUCUGCACAGGCUAGAUACCACCUCACGCCGCACGACGACUUUAUGAAGAGAAUUUCCUUUACCACUCCUGCUCCUCGGUUCUGGGAUGAAGGCCUGAAGCACAGGCCGGUUAAACUACCUGCCCGGGCGUCAGUCAGGGGCCAGGAUUCAAACCCAGGGAGUUUAGUUCCCCGGGGUUGAAUCGGGGUGUGAACCUGACUUGUAGGGUCAGUUCUCCAGACAUCUGAGUCAGAAGAAGGUUCCCUCACAAAGGCAUUAAGACCUCUCUGGGAUGCACAAGGCUGAAAUAAAACUAACCCCAGCUCUUGGAAGCAAUCCCUUACCAUCUGCUCAGGAACUGGCUUUCCUAAACGCGUUCACCCUCGUUUUCAGUCCUCACUGCGACCCGGAAGGCAGCUCUUUCCAGCCUUAGUUUGCUGAGGAGAAAAACCAAGCCUGGGAGAGGUGACUGGCAGUCCAGCACGUAAAAGAUGAGAACAUAGGCCCACACCUCUGGGAAGGGGGCGGUGUGGACCUACUGCAAGAGGACCUGUGAAGGGGCUGGGGAGGAGGAGCGUGGUCGUGGUCGUGCUGAUGGUGGUGGUGGUGGUGGUAAAAAAUCAAUCAAGCAAUCAGUCAAAGCAUCGCUGCUCCCUGAAGCCCAGCCCUCAGGACGCCUUUCGGUCCAGAAAGUGCCGCUCAGCACUCAGCAGGAGACAGAAGUUGGUAAUAAUUCUGGGAGGGGGCAGGAGGCUGCAGAACGCGGAAAACGUGGCACUUCCUCUCUGCUUAGUCCGAGGAGUAUGGGGAGCACACCUCGUGGCCUCUUCUCGCCGCCCCCCCCCCCCCAGGUUUAAGGUUUGCUUUGGCUGCUUCUAAGAGAGGCACCCUCUCUGAAGUUGGCUAGUCUUGUUCUGCCCAGGUCCUGUCUAGUGUUGGGUCUCUACACUUUGGUGACUCAUCCCAAACGUAGUGGGAGCUGUAUCUGCCCCUGGUGAUACUGUGAUACCCAGAGGAAACCUCCUUAGUCUCUCCCAGGGAGACCUCAUUAGCCCACAUACCCACAUUGAAGCCCAUCACU
This 4685-nucleotide long non-coding RNA is filed under the name Canis lupus familiaris (dog). RNAcentral's name for it is "lncRNA (ENSCAFG00030015941.1)". Lineage: Eukaryota; Metazoa; Chordata; Mammalia; Carnivora; Canidae. The record is from RNAcentral.